RNAcentral lists this ribosomal RNA (252 nucleotides) under uncultured bacterium. RNAcentral's name for it is "partial 16S ribosomal RNA". It matches the Rfam family "Bacterial small subunit ribosomal RNA", at positions 524 to 776 of the family's 1533-position model. The record is from RNAcentral.
UACGGAGGAUGCGAGCGUUAUCCGGAUUUAUUGGGUUUAAAGGGUGCGCAGGCGGAUUUUUAAGUCAGCGGUCAAAUCGUGGGGCUCAACCCCAUCCAGCCGUUGAAACUGGGGAUCUAGAGUGUGCGAGAGGUAUGCGGAAUGCGUGGUGUAGCGGUGUAAUGCAUAGAUAUCACGCAGAACCCCGAUUGCGAAGGCAGCAUACCGGUGCACAACUGACGCUCAGGCACGAAAGCGUGGGUAUCGAACAGG